GAGGAUAUAGCUAAAUGGUAGAGCUCAUGCUUAGCAUGCAGGAGGUCAUGGGUUCGAUCCCCAGGACCUCC
This 71-nucleotide transfer RNA is filed under the name Camelus ferus (Wild Bactrian camel). It matches the Rfam family "tRNA". Rfam says of the family: Transfer RNA (tRNA) molecules are approximately 80 nucleotides in length. The record is from Rfam by way of RNAcentral. Lineage: Eukaryota; Metazoa; Chordata; Mammalia; Artiodactyla; Camelidae.